UGUGCCUAUGUUUUCAACCCAAUGGUUUGUCUGUAUCACUGGUGUCUGCUGUCCUUAGUAGGAGUUAUCAAAUCAAAGUAAUGUUCAUUGCAACCAGCAGAUAGGACAUCUUGAAACCAUCUAAGAGAUCCACAGGAAAUUGCCACCACAAAGCAGAGUCCUCCAG
RNAcentral lists this long non-coding RNA (166 nucleotides) under Mustela putorius furo (domestic ferret). RNAcentral's name for it is "lncRNA (ENSMPUG00000029835.1)". Lineage: Eukaryota; Metazoa; Chordata; Mammalia; Carnivora; Mustelidae. The record is from RNAcentral.